CCUACGGGAGGCUGCAGUGAGGAAUAUUGGUCAAUGGCCGGAAGGCUGAACCAGCCAUGCCGCGUGAAUGUCAGUGCCCUAUGGGCGUUAAACUUCUUUUGUGCGGGAGCAAUAAUGGUCACGUGUGGCCAGACGAGAGUACCGGACGAAUAAGCAUCGGCUAACUCCGUGCCAGCGGCCGCGGUAAUACGGGGGAUGCAAGCGUUGUCCGGAGUUCUGGGGGUUAAAGGGUGCGUAGGGUGUGAGGUAAGUCACGGGUGUAAUGCCCCCGCUCAACGGGGUGAAGUGCCAUUGAUACUGGCUUGCUGGAAUGCGGAUGCCGUGGGAGGAAUGUGUGGUGUAGCGGUGAAAUGCAUAGAUAUCACACAGAACACCGAUUGCGAAGGCAUCUCACGAAUCCGCGAUUGACGCUGAUGCACGAAAGCGUGGGUAUCAAACAGGAUUAGAUACCCCAGUAGUC
Molecule: ribosomal RNA, 460 nt
Filed under: uncultured bacterium
Lineage: Bacteria
Description: partial 16S ribosomal RNA
Rfam family: Bacterial small subunit ribosomal RNA
Source: RNAcentral